This 85-nucleotide transfer RNA is filed under the name Felis catus (domestic cat). It matches the Rfam family "tRNA". Rfam says of the family: Transfer RNA (tRNA) molecules are approximately 80 nucleotides in length. Their secondary structure includes four short double-helical elements and three loops (D, anti-codon, and T loops). Lineage: Eukaryota; Metazoa; Chordata; Mammalia; Carnivora; Felidae. The record is from Rfam by way of RNAcentral.
GCCUGGGUGGCUCAGUCGGUUGAGCAUCCGACUUCGGCUCAGGUCAUGAUCUCACGGUCCGCGGGUUUGAGCCCCGUGUCAGGCU